AGCAAUUCUGCACCCCAGGGGACAGCUGGCAGUUUGUGGACACAUUUUGACAAUCACAACUGGACUGUGGUAGGGGCUACUUGGCAUCAGCUCCACAACCACUAUUUUCCUGACAGUGAGUUUAAAGAGCACUCUUUCCUGUGUUAAGAAAAAUAAGAAAUGGCUCCUGGCCAGCACAUGUUAAUUAGAUCAUGCAAGGUGACGAUAAAGGAUCUGAAGAUGAAACCCAUGCAUUGCCACCUGAUAUGAAGCGGAUUCUUGACCAUAGGAGCCACUAGGGAAGGCCCUCAAUCAGAGCAUCACAGAGGGAAGCAGACCAUGCAGGCUGCUCCGUCCUUCCUCUGAAGCAGUCCAUUUGGAGAGUCUACCUUGUUCAUAUAGAAGCCCUUCACUGUCCAUCCUUGAUCCACAACCAAGGGCCCCAGAAGUCACUUUGAACAAUAUAUCUCUGCUCCCCACCAUGGCAGCAUCUGAUUGGGCCAGUGCUGAGCACUUGAUCCAUGAUGGCCAAUCAGAGCCUCUUUGCCAGACAACUGAAACUGGGACUAAGAAAUAGUAUCUCUUGAGAUGGCUAAAACCAAAACCUGUCAGCAUGCCAGCUUGGGUGUUUUGGAAUACAGUAAGUCCCCGACAUGUGAACUUUCAAAUUGUGAACUUUCAAAGAUGUGCACGAGCGUUACAUCGAUGUCAGGCCUAAGUGAAACAGCAGCUUGCCCUCCAUCUCCUAUGACUGAUGAUCCCCCAACUCUACCAAUCUUGCCUCCUCUCCCUCCUCCAGUCAGGAACUCUUCUUGACUCUUCAUUCAAUGCCAGCCCCUAGAUGCCAGCUGCUUUACUGUACUACUGUACUUUUCAAGGUGCUGUACUGUAAGAUUAAAAAUGUUUUCUAUGCC
Long non-coding RNA from Odocoileus virginianus texanus, 893 nucleotides. RefSeq lists it as uncharacterized. The record is from RefSeq and is a predicted model, not a curated record. NCBI's taxonomy places the organism in Eukaryota, Metazoa, Chordata, Mammalia, Artiodactyla, Cervidae.